Molecule: long non-coding RNA, 315 nt
Organism: Perca fluviatilis (European perch)
Lineage: Eukaryota; Metazoa; Chordata; Actinopteri; Perciformes; Percidae
Exons: 3
Source: RefSeq, a predicted model, not a curated record
CUCAGAGGAAGGCUGUUCUUCUCUGGUCUCAGCUCUGAGCUCCAACCUCUCACAUCUGAGAGAGCUGGACCUGAGCUACAAUCAUCCAGGAGACUCAGGAGUGAAGCUACUGUCAGCGGGACUGAAGGAUCCUCUCUGGAGACUGGACACUCUCAGGGUGGAGCCUGCUGGAGUCAGAUGGUUGACACCAGGUCUGAGGAAGUGUAAGUCUGUUUUACAUUUCAUUCAUGGAACUGUGACAUCACUCAUUCAACCCUCCAGACCUGCCAACAUAUUCCUGUGAACUCACACUGGACACAAACACAGUGAACAGAA